UUUCAUUUUUUAUGUUUCAUUACCUUUUUUUGUUUCUAUCUCUUUCAUUUACUUUGAAACUGUGUGCCCUCUGUCUCUCACAUUUGGCACUCUCUCAUUUCAUUUGGGUUAUGGUAUUCUGUUGUAGCCAUCAGUACUGUGAUAGGUUUUUCUUCAUUUUCAUGUUUGGCAAACUCAAUCAAUCGUAUGUUCAAGCACCAAGUUAAGAUAUUUUCCUAUUUCUGUAUGCAUGGGUGUUUUGAUUUAUAGGUUUUUUGAGGUAUUAAUCGUUAAUGGAGUAAUUUCCUUUUUUGAUUAGCUAGGGUUUCGGCUUUUAAUCCUUUCUGAACUGUAUAUCAAUUUUUUCUUCUCAAAGACAUUUCAUUUCUAUUGUUAAUCUUUUUCUUAAUCGCUUUUUGACUAUUUUUUUUGUAUAGGGUUUCCAACUUUUUCCACUUUUCAGCGUAUUUUCAAGUAUUUUUGUUAAAGGUAUCCACUUUUCAUGGUUAAUGUUUGUCUUUAUACGUUUUUUGAGGCAUCGGUCUUUAUAAAGGAGUGUUUGUGGCUCUCUGCUUAGUGUCUCUCACAUUUUUUCCUCUCUCAUUUCAUUUGGUCUUUCGUUAAUCUAUCACAACGACUACUACUCUGAUAGUUUUUUUUUUCAUUUCCAUAUUUAUGAAACUGAAUCCAGCGUAUGUUCAAGCACCGGGGUUAGAUUUUUUCCUUCUUUUGUACGCAUGGGUUUUUUUAUUAUAGUUUUUUUAGUGUUUAAUCGUGAAUAGAGUAAUUGUUUUUAGUAUCUAUGUUUUCCACCUUUUUUUAAUAUUUAGGGUUUCCACAUCUUUAGUAUAUAGAUGCAUGUGUGUAUGUUGUUUGAUUCACAGUUCACCAAUUUCAUUCUGUAUUUUCCUUUUAUUUUACGAUUGAGCCUUACAAUGUCUUUUUUAAGAAAAAAAUAUGCAUUCCAUCAAAGAUGUUAAUCUUGGAAAUGAAAAUUGGAUCCUGAUAGCAAGGUUCAUUUGUUUGUGGUUUGUCAGUGACUUGAAGAAAACCAAGUUUUCGUUGUCAAUGGAAAUGGUCAUACAAGAUAAAGAGGUAAAUUGUUUUAUCAUUUGCUUUGUCAUUGUUUUCUUGUGAUAUAAAUUCUGACUAAUCAUGUUUUAUCUCUAUUGUUGUUUUUUAGGGUCAUAUAAUUCAUGUUUCUGUUAGGAGAACACUCCUUUAUAAAUUUCAAAACCAUAUUGUUUGGAAUAAGGUUUAUUGUUUCCAAUUUUUUAGUGUUGCCACUAAUGCAGGAUCUUAUAGAACAACCCCUCACCUGUAUAAAAUUAAUUUUCAGUUUGGAACUAAGGUAACCUAUUUAGGUAAGGAUUUUGUUUCAAGUGCAAGACCUCAACACACCCCAAUGCCUGUGUGAAGAGCCCCUGUUUUUUAUGCUAACUACUUAGUGGGUAAGUUUAGUUAUUAUGGUUUAGUGUUCAAUAUAUUUUUUUUCCAGAUGUUAUUGCAAUGCUCAGAUCAUUAUGCACUUAACGAGUUCUUAAUAGAUCAAAGAAAUCAACUAAGUUAAAUUUCAUCUCCAUUGAAAUGGAGUGUACCUUUUUUUGGAACUAUGUUGAUUACCUGAAUGCAUUUUUGUUACCCGGAGAGUUUCAUAAUGUGGUUAUCACUAUGCAAUAUGCUAAAAUGAUGAUUUUGGAAGGUAUGUGAAGUCAUGAAAUUGUAUUUUAUGUUUUUUAUUUUGGUAUUUUUCUCAUUUUUAUUGUAAGGUAAUGUACUUUUUUUUCACUGUAUACAAGGUUAGUCUUCAAAACUGUAUUAUCAAAAUGUAUGGUUUUGCUGUGGUCACUUUCUCAUUCAUGUCUUUUUAAAUGUCAUGCCUUAUACCGUAUAUAUUUUUGUUUACUUAUUACUUGGGAUGUUAUUGAAGGAUGUUCCUACGACAUUUGUGGAAUACCUUGGCAAAUGGAUGUUCAGAAAGGUGUUUAUACAUGGAUUUCUAUAGGAGGUUGAGUACUAGGUCUUAUCCAAAUCUUUUUCUGGUAGAACUGUGAAACUUGGCAUCGGUUGGAAGCAUUGUUUUGUCUUCAUUAUGUUAGCCUUUUAGGCUAAUUAUUUCCAUCUGGUUGAAAUGAAAACAAUAUUUAUUUUGGUUCAUUUAUUUGAGGAAUGUUCCUUAUUUUCUUAGUCAUUCAGACUAAUAUGUUUGUUGGUUUAUUUCACAACUGUAAAUUUUAUGUUUGUUAGUCGUUCAGGCUAAUGGUUUCUCUUUGGUGGAAACCAGAACAAUUUAAAUUUUUUGUUAAUGUUUAUGUUUAUUUUUUGUUUAUUAUUUACAAUAUGGAUACUUACUGCUUAAAUUUUUUCAUUCCUUAUCUGGCAGAUUCUUAAGUUGUUUGCAUAAAUAAAAAUGCUUAACCCUAAAACAAUUGGCAGUACAUUAAACUUCAUAAAAACAUAUUUGUGAUUUUUUGUUCAUGGCUUAUUUUGUCUUAAUAUUUGGUAAUGGUGUUUCUUAUUAUAUUAUUAAUAUUUAAUCAUGUAUUAGUUGUUUUUGAUUUAGCAGAGAACUGGUGCAUGCAUGUUUACUUCACUCAAUGAAUUUCUAUUCUUUUUAUAUUUCUAUGAAUAUAAAAUAAUAUUCAUUUCUUAUCAUUUGAAUUUAAUGACAAAGGUGGUGGCAGAACUUAAUGUGUUUUUCACCAAAAUCACGUUCCUGUUAAGAAACAUACAUUUUUAUUCAUUCAAUUUGAUGUACUUAAUUUUACUUUUAACAAUAAUUCUUAUUUUAAAAAUUAUUUAUUUGACAUUUGACAUUGCAAGAAGUACUACAAGAUAUAUUAAUCCCACAUAAGACUAUGUAGUUGCUGGCCAGGACACCAAUAUAAUUCUAUAAUUUUUAUUGUAAUGUCCACUUUGUGGACAACAUUUAUCAUGUUUACUGUUCUUUAGUUAUGAAAUUUUGAGUACUUACAUUCUAAACUUAUGUAAUUUCAUGUUAUUUGUUAUUAUGGAAUAUAUUAUGUCG
RNAcentral lists this long non-coding RNA (3007 nucleotides) under Phaseolus vulgaris (common bean). RNAcentral describes it as "long non-coding RNA (PVUL_LNC003886)". The record is from RNAcentral. Lineage: Eukaryota; Viridiplantae; Streptophyta; Magnoliopsida; Fabales; Fabaceae.